AAAAUGAAAAUGAAUCCCUGACCUGGUCAUACCUCUGACUAGGUUUUCUACUCCUGUGCAUUUUCUCCAGUUGGGGGAUUCUGUGAAUUAGUGGGUCUCAGGGAGAGCCAAGCAUGAGGCCAGAGCUGCCUGGAAGCUUGUCAAGUGAUACACCAGGGGAGAUUUGCCUCUUGUCUUCCCUUCCAGGGACUUGGUCUCUAGCCCUGACCAUCCUCGCCUUCCUUUGGAGAAGGCUCCUCCUAAGACUCAUGGUAAAGUAAGACAUGCUCCUCCAGAUCUGACUCCCACUGCACAGGCCCCAGAGACCAGCCUGGAUGAGAAACAAGAAUGCCCUCCUGACUUUCCAGAGCUCCCCCUCCUCACAGCUGGGUACUGGGGCCUGUCCAUGGAAGGAGCCAUCUGGGCACACCAGGAAGGGUGGCUGUUCAUAAUCCUGCAUCUGAGUAUUCUGUCCAGUUAGUGAAGCUGGGCUCCUCCAUGGGAACCCUCACGUGUCUGUCCUCCCAGGCACCUGACUCUGAGGGAGACCUGCUGUCUCCACCAAGGGGCAGACUCCUGGUUUGUGUCCUGAAGCUGCUUUACAUGUUCAUACUUCUGGCUCCUUUGGUGUAACUCAUUGCUGGUGAAAACUUGGCACAUUCCACAUUUCUAUCCAAGUAACUGCUUUGUUUUAAAUUUUGGGACAUCUUGAAAAUCAAGUGUUAAAAUGAGUGUGAGUGUGUGUGUGUGUGUGUGUGUGUGUGUGUGUGUGUGUUUGUGCUUGAAAGAGCAUAUGGGAAAAUCCCUUCCCCUUGGCUAUUGAUAAUUCUUCUGAGGCAC
Non-coding RNA from Vicugna pacos (alpaca), 819 nucleotides. NCBI's taxonomy places the organism in Eukaryota, Metazoa, Chordata, Mammalia, Artiodactyla, Camelidae. The record is from RefSeq and is a predicted model, not a curated record.